RNAcentral lists this long non-coding RNA (5263 nucleotides) under Sus scrofa (pig). RNAcentral's name for it is "lncRNA (ENSSSCG00000060773.1)". The record is from RNAcentral. Lineage: Eukaryota; Metazoa; Chordata; Mammalia; Artiodactyla; Suidae.
UAGCUUCUCUAAGCCUCCAGUUUUAUUAUCUACAAAAUGAAGAUAAUGAUGAUAAUACUUACAUCAGAAAUAUCUAAUAGGAAUUAAAUGAGAUAAUCCAUAUAGAAGUUCUUAGCUCAUAGCACCUGGCCCAGAAUAAGAAUUCAAAGUUGGAUGUUAGCCAUAUUAUUUGUUAUUCCAGGAAAUGGCACUUCAGGACAAAUCAGUUAUGGAUGGCCGAGGCCCUACAUACUACAUAGAAAGAACUGGGUCAAAUGACCCUUCCCCCUCCUCUGCCAAAAGCAACUUGGAAGUUAAACUUUUGUUUUCGAAUUGUAGAGUUUCAGUGGCAGUGAACAAGAAAUAAAGGUCAACAGCCAUUUCCUCUGGAACCUGGCUGGUUAAUUUGAUAUCUGGGAAUUGGCUCAAGGUGUGGGUGGUGGAAAUAAACAAAUCUUCUUCCCUGCAACCUCACAAACCUACCUUCAUUCUAACCCUCCUUUCUAUCUGAUCCCCACUUCCCCCAAAUGCAUAAAGUAAUGGCCUCACAGAAGCCUGUGUGUGGCACUUUUGAGAUGUGAUCCUAAAUAGCAAGGCUAUGAAUCAUUGUGUGAAUGCUAAAUAUUUCUAUUUCCAUUAUAGGAGUUAAUAACAAUGAUGAAGGAAUGCUCUCUAUUGAAAAAGAAUUAACCCCUUGAUUUCAAAUGUUGGCCUUUUUUUCCCUUCACAGAGCACGUCUUACUCCAUAGCAUGUUGCCAUACCAUUAUUAUAUAGCAUUCUUAGUCAAUAUUUAUUUGACUCAAAACCAUUAUGAAGACUAGAGUUGUCUCCCCUACAUGUUUUCCACCACACACAAUUUGUUUCAAGCGAAACAGAAAGAUCCCUAUCCCCACACUCACUCUAAUCUUUCUGAUUGAGAAUAGGUCAUUUCAUACCUGGCCUCUCAGAAAUAUAGAAUCAAGGAGCAUAAGAAAUAAAGUCUGUUCCACAAUUAGUAUCCAGCUCCUAUUCACUGAGGCUACUUGGAGAAUUUUUUUUUUUUUUAAAUACCUUGCCUCAAGCCUGUGUUUCUAUCCUUUAAUUUAUGCUGCACACUAGCUAAACUGAAGUUGCCCAGACAUCCAUUUCCUAAAUUAUUCAUUCUCUCUCUCUCUAUUAGUAGCCUGGUCACAUAAAUACUAUGAAAGUUUUAGCAUAAUCAAGCAAACACUUUGAUUUAAUCCCUUUUUUUUUUUUUUUUUGGUCUUUUUAGGGCCACACCUGCGGCAUAUGGAGGUUCCCAGGCUAGGGGUCUAAUCAGAGCUGCUGCUGCCAGCCUAUGCCAGAGCCACAGCAACGCCAGAUCUGAGCCACAUCUGCGACCUACACCACAGCUCAUGGCAACGCUGGAUCCUUAACCCACUGAGCAAGGCCAGGGAUCAAACCUGCAACCACAUGGUUCCUAUUUGGAUUUGUUUCCACUGUGCCACGAGGGGAACUCCGAUUUAUUCUUGAGUCAAAAAAUAUUCAUUGAGGAGUUCCCGUCGUGGCGCAGUGGUUAACGAAUCCGACUAGGAACCAUGAGGUUGCGGGUUCGGUCCCUGCCCUUGCUCAGUGGGUUAACGAUCCGGCCUUGCCGUGAGCUGUGGUGUAGGUUGCAGAUGCGGCUCGGAUCCUGCGUUGCUGUGCCUCUGGCGUAGGUCGGUGGCUACAGCUCCGAUUCAACCCCUAGCCUGGGAACCUCCAUAUGCCGCGGAAGCGCCCAAGAAAUAGCAACAACAACAACAACAACAACAAAAGACAAAAAGACAAAAGACAAAAAAAAAAAAAAAAAUAUUCAUUGAAUACCCUCUGUUUCAAAUAUUGUACUAGGUCUUACUGACACAGUGAUGAACAAAACAAUUACAGUCUCAUCCUCAUGAGGCUUAUCAUUUAGUGGUGGGAUCACACAAGAGACAAAAACACCCCAAAAUAAAUUACAAAUUAUAGUGAGCAAAAAAAAAGGAAAGGAAGGAAGGGAAACAGAGGGAAUAUAUGUGACUAUAACAAGGGGGUACUCCAUUUAUGAUGAGGGGGUCAGAGAAGACCUCGCUAAAACAGCAUAUGUUAUUUGAAACCUAAGGAUUCAUAGAGGUUAGCUAGGUGAAGAUUUAGGGGAAGGUUCUAAGCAGGAUGUAUAUAAAGUCCCAGGACAACAAGAAACAUGCCACAUUAAGAAACUGAGAAAGUCCAAUAUGGUGGAGCUUAUUGAACAGUGGGGAGAAUCUGACCCUAUGGACUUUACCACAUAAAAAUGUUCUGAAUUCAAUUAUUUUUAAAUCCAGAAGGUCUAUCCAAAAAAAUCACAUUGCUAGAUGGAGUUCCCUGAUGGCCUAGUGGCUAAGGAUUUGGUGUUGUCACUGCUGUGGCUUGGGUCACUGCUGUGGUGAGGGUUCAAUCCCCGGCCUAGGAACUUCCACAUAAUAUGGACAUAACCAAAAAAAAAAAAUCAUAUUGCUACAUAAUUUACAGUAUGAUUUCAAAUUGCAAAUUCCCAGCAAAAUUAUACGAAUAAGCCUGUCAUCCUCCGUACUCCCACACACCAUUCCCCUAAGGCCUGUCCAUGUUAAAUGAUGCCUACAUUUUAAAAAUCACUUAUCAAAUGAUCUAAAUAUAGUGGAGUACAAACAUAAAACAAUUUCUGUUUUUCUCCUUUUAACCAAGCUCUAUAAAAUCUCUCUUUCCUACAUUUCAUUUUAUUUUUAUAUAUUUAUUUAUUUUGUCUUUUUGUCUUUUUAGGGCUGCAACCACGGCAUAUGGAGGUUCCCAGGCUAGGGGUCUAAUCGGUUGCCAGCCUACACCAGAUCCAAGAUGUGUCUGCGACCUAUACCACAGCUCACAGCAAUGCCGGAUCCGUAACCCACUGAGCAAGGCCAGGGAUCAAACCUGCAACCUCAUGGUUCCUAGUUGGAUUCACUUCCCCUGCACCAUGACAGGAACUCCCCUUUCCUACAUUUUAGAGAGAUUUCCUGUGUUGGUAGUUACAUCCAGUUACUAAUGUCUAGCCUUGUUCAAUCCAAAAUUUAAAACUUCAGUCUCAUUUCAAUUCUGUGUUGGUUCCUUUCUCUCCUAUCACCUGCCGAAAUUGGCCUCAGUGAUUUGGGAAUGCGAAGGGCAAGGUCUGAUCAUUCAUCUACUCCUUGCCUGGGUUCCUUUUCCCUCCAGUACACUGGUGAAAUGUCAGGCCUCAAAGAUUGCCAAGGGCUAGAUGCUGGAGAAUCUUCUAUGUCGAACUAAAGAACUUGGACUUUAUCUUUUAAAGGAGAUACAAGAAAACAUUAAAGGGUAACUACCCAAAUAGGCUUUCAUUUUAGAAUGGCCCCUUCACCGCACUGUAAAGAGUAGAUUAGAGGAGACAAGCAAGGAUUAGGAUUACAAAGAGAAUGCCGGCCCCCUGAAAUCUCUCCCACAGCUCCCCUCUUAAUUUCUUCUCCCCAACUUCUCUCAAAAUCCUAUGAGACCUCCCUUGCCUUGGAAAUACUCCUGAAAAUCCUUCCUCUAAACUUGGGCAAGUCUGAUCCAUCAUUUUUAGGGUUUUUGAAACACCAAUAUGUGGGGAAAAAGCCUUUCUGCUUUAUUAAUCUUGGCUAAAGGAGAGCAAGAUAUUAAAAUUGAACUCUUGCCUUGGAGUUUCACCAAUGGCCCUGAAAUCUAAAGACAGUGUCUAAAUUGAGGAGCUAGAGCACCAAAGCAAUACAUCCUAAGGACUGUGAAAUUGAUUCUACCAACCCAAUCUCCCAUCUCUAGUUCAGUAAAUAUUGAAACUGAAAAAGCCCAUAGAGACAAUGCCUUUGGAAAUUGUUCUGGGUGCUAUAGAGGGGAUGGGGUGGGGGAGGGGAGGAAAAAAUACUUUCCCUCACCUUAAUUCAGGUGAGAGGAGCUUCUAAGAAUGGCUCAAAAAACUUGGCCUACAGCCUCUGAAGAUUGGGUGACCAGGGAUUGGACUCUGCUUCUGCUGGGGGAAAGUCUAAAGAUGAAAGGCUGUGACUACAAACAGCAGAGAGCUCUGUAUUAGUCAUUAUCUACACUUCCAGCGACAGUAGGCAAAGGGGUUUGUCUCCUAGGACCCAGAUAUGGAUCCUGGGUCAAAAAAGGCAGCCUGGGUCAGAAAGGUCAGCUUGGAGAAGCCAAAGGCUCACAGUGGAGAGAUAGACUGCUGGAAGCUUAUGGCUAAAGAUGGACUCAAAAACAGCCAGACAUGAGAACUUGACUUUUCAAAGAGAGCUGCAGUCAUUGGGCCUCUAGCAGGAAAUCUCCUGGGAAAAAAAGCACCCCAAGAGAAUAAGAGCCAACAAUUGUCUAGCUGUCACCUGUGACAUCCUUCUUAUCUGUGCCCCUGCCCCUAACUCUGGGUAUCCUUGUGACUCUCUUUUAACCAACAGAAUGUGGCAGAAAUGGCAUUGCAGGACUUCUAAGGCUAGGUCAAAAAAGGCAAUGCAGCUCCCACUUCAUUGCCAGAUACAACUAUGUCAGUCAAAUAAAACUUUUCUUACCUCUUAUCUUUCUUCUCCAAAGAAGUGGGAAAUCAUACACAGGAGUGGAAGAAAAAGUAGAAUUAUGAAAUUAUGAAGAGGCAGAGCAUGUGUCCCCCAUUCCUGGUCAGGUCUAAGCUGGGGGACAGGAGAGCUCUAAGUUCGAUAAGAAUCCUAAAUUUUGAUACUAUACUUGACAGGAAUUUUUGUUUGCUAAAAUGAGACUUUCUUGUGACUGAAGGAACCAGAAAGCUGUUAGACCUGCCAAAUACUUCAUCCAGGGUAGGAAAGAACAAGUCCAAAAGCAGAUUUGAAAGGAAAGAACAGAAAACAAUUCACACACAACAGAGUCCAGUUUGUUUGAUAAAAUGCCUACAUGAUUUAUAAUGGAUGUAAAACAAAAGCUAUGGAGUCAACAGAGAGCUGGAAUUACACAGAAAGCCAAGGCCAUCUGGUGACUAUAUCAAGGCCAGCUAAAAUAAAGUCCAUGGCCUGCUCAGGGUUAGGACUUUUUAUGAAAUAAAUAAAUUAGCUAGUGUAAUUGUUUGGACAGGUUAUUAAAACAGAAGAAAGCAGAGUUCCUGUUGUGGCUCAGGGGUCAACGAAUCCGACUAGGAAACUUGAGGUUGCGGGUUCGAUCCCUGGCCUCGCUCAGUGGGUUAAUGAUCUGGCGUUGCCGUGAGCUGUGGUGUAGGUUGCAGAUGUGGCUUGGAUCCCGAGUUGCUGUGGCUCUGGCAUAGGCCGGCGACUGUAGCUCUGAUUCGACCCCUAGCCUGGGAACCUCCAUGUGCCA